This 32-nucleotide ribosomal RNA is filed under the name Gaeumannomyces graminis. Its description in RNAcentral is "partial rRNA". Lineage: Eukaryota; Fungi; Ascomycota; Sordariomycetes; Magnaporthales; Magnaporthaceae. The record is from RNAcentral.
GGUCCCCGUUGGUGAACCAGCGGAAGGAUCAU